Molecule: unclassified non-coding RNA, 411 nt
Filed under: fungal sp.
Lineage: Eukaryota; Fungi
Description: partial internal transcribed spacer region
Rfam family: Eukaryotic small subunit ribosomal RNA (bases 1-46)
Source: RNAcentral
AAGUCGUAACAAGGUUUCCGUAGGUGAACCUGCGGAAGGAUCAUUAACACGUAUCCAACGUAAAACCCCCCUGUGAACCUUCAGACCUGUUCUCCUAGCCCAGUGCGAUCCAGCAAUCCCGGUAAAUCAUUGUUGAACAGUAUUGAUUCGGGACCUCUGACAAAUGAGAAGUUACAGUUAGGAUAUGAGCGGAGAUAGCUGCAUGGCAUCCCGAAGCAGUCAGUGUCUGAAAGUGUCAUUGAUUGUCUAAGGAUCUCGCUUCUACGAUUGCUUAGGGUCGCUCACCGACCAGCAGACAUGCAACCGGGUCCCCAUGCCCCUUUAUCACCACACUGUAACGCCGACAGGUCGCGAUAAUUCCGCUGACCACAAAAAACCGAACAACUGUUAACAAUGGAUAUCUUGGUUCUC